Long non-coding RNA from Panthera uncia (snow leopard), 446 nucleotides. RefSeq lists it as uncharacterized. The record is from RefSeq and is a predicted model, not a curated record. The transcript is spliced from 2 exons. NCBI's taxonomy places the organism in Eukaryota, Metazoa, Chordata, Mammalia, Carnivora, Felidae.
AGCUGGAGGUGGUCUGCUGCCUGUCCCCUGGGAGUGGCCCUUGAGGGAAGGAAGGGAAGGAAGGUUUCCAGUGGCUUCCUUCAGCCUGGAACUCUGGGAAUUGGAGACCCGCUAGGCUUAUUUCUUGGCGACCCUGAAGGCGAGCAUGCUGGUAAUAGAGAACCUACUGGAAGGAGAAGAGAAUCAUCCCUGGGGACUUCAUUUCAGCUCCUGCCUGAUGUCUGUCUGCCUGCAGCUUGCUAAGCUUCCCAGGCUUUCUGGAAGCGUCCGCACCGUGUCCUUGUCUUCACUGGGUCUCUUCCUUCUCGAAUAGGGAAGACAUCUUCCAGGUGGGGUUUUCUCUCUGCUUCUGGGAAGAAAAAGGAGAGGGUCAUGGCGGCUUUCUUGCACCUGCUGCUUUUUCAAGUACCUUGAGCUCAAAAUAAAUUUUAUGUCAAAGCCUCGUA